Molecule: long non-coding RNA, 1801 nt
Filed under: Heterocephalus glaber (naked mole-rat)
Lineage: Eukaryota; Metazoa; Chordata; Mammalia; Rodentia; Bathyergidae
Description: lncRNA (ENSHGLG00000038647.1)
Source: RNAcentral
AUUAUUUUGAAAUUUAUGACAAUCAAAUAGUGGUAGCUUAAAGCUUACAUUUCUUUACAAACACUUUUCUUCCCCCUGGGAGUGUGUGAACUAAGAAAAUUCCAGGAGGAACAUUCCAGUACUUAAAAUAGAAUUGGAAAGUGACAGACCAAAAGGGUCUAAUAAAUUAUUCAUCUGAAUUCCUUUGUGAUUUCAUAGGGUAAGGGAACUAUUUACUAUCACCUUCAUUUUUAUAAGAGGAACACAUUUUUUCACACAUAACGAGUAUUUUAACUUUGUGUCAAUUUUCUUUGUCUCUUCAAGAACCUCUACUAGGUACCAUUUGAUUAGUCUAGCUUGAAUUCCUAUAUGAAUUUCAUAACAUUUGAAUAUUUAAAAGCAUAUAUUUAGGCCCUUUCUCAUUAAAAGCCCUGUGUAUGAGAUAAACUAUUAUUUAAACAGUCUUCUAAACUUUACUGAUGUAUACAUCUAUGAGAUCCUUACCAUUGUAAAUUCAAACCAAAAUUUUAUUUAUAAAAGGCCAGCCAGCCCAGCCAUCUCUCCAUGUCUGCAGGACAAAGUCUAUGUCCUGAACUUAGCAUUUAAAUAUUUUCAGAUUGGCUUAGUUCACUCUUUGAACUCUAUUGCCUGAUGCAAAUUAACCACCCUAAUGACCUCCUGCAUGGACUUUCUCAUCUCUAUGAAUUUGCCAGUGCUUUUAAUUUUUUUUCUACCUGGCUUCUUCUUCUAUUUCUCCACCAACAUAAUUCCUAAAUAUGUCUUUUAACAAGCCUUAAAUAUUACUUUCUUUAUGAAAUCAUUCAAGAUUUUCCCCGUACCCUAGUCCACCCUGGCCAGAAUCUGUCAUUUCGGUCACUUCUAGAGCACACUCUGUUGCCCUUUGUUUUGGAUUCAUCAGAUGCAGAUCCAGUAUCUCUAUUUAAUGUAGCUCAGCAGGGCAGCCUUGAGGUUGGGGAGGGAUGUGGUGAUAAGGGACUUUUGUUUUUUCAAGCUCCUUUUGCAUAGCAAGCCACAUUUACACCAAUCGGAAUAGCAAUCUUAAUUGUUCUUAAUGGACACUAGUAUUUAUGGGCAAUGAUUAAAUCAAGAAUUUCCCUUCAACUCUAAGGAGAAGACUGUGGAAGGAGAUGGCUACCUGUGAAUAUCAGACCUAUCAGAGGACAUUCUAUGUUUGGCCUUGAAAUUUAUUGACUUCUCUCCAUAAAUAGAGCAAUUCUUGGUCAGACUCGCAGUGUUUGUACCGAAGUUACUUAUGUUUCCAAAUAUCCCUUUAUCCUUGGAUAAGAGCUAAAUAUUGAUGGUAUCUUUCAGGUAAUUAGACACCUUAGAUUAAAUUUUGUGCAUAAAUGUAAUCAUUAAGCAAACAGGCUUAUCCAGACUUAUUGUGAAACUGACCUAGCUUAUACUGCAUCUAUUUUCAACCUUAGCAACAGCCCUUCGGCCAAGGCAAGGAUAUAACAGAGGAUUCAGUGCUGCCUGCCUGUCAUUUCCAGAGCUUGCUUUGCAUCCAAUGACUCCAAACAGUGUUUUGUCUCAAGUUGAUUCAAAUGCAAUGCAAGACAAAUCAGGUUUCUUGUCUUUAAGACUUUCAGAAGGCUUUGGUGCCCUACAUUGGCUUAAAGGGGCUUUACUUCAUGGGGUAUUUGCUGUUUGGCUUAGGGACGGGAUUUAUAGGUCUCUUUCCAAAUGUCUACUCCACCCUGGUCCUGUGUACCUUGUUUGGUAUAAUGUCCAGCACCCUGUACACCGUCCCCUUUAACCUCAUGGCUGAGUACCACCUUGCGGAGGAGAAGGAGGUACG